This 513-nucleotide ribosomal RNA is filed under the name uncultured bacterium. RNAcentral describes it as "partial 16S ribosomal RNA". It matches the Rfam family "Bacterial small subunit ribosomal RNA", at positions 28 to 523 of the family's 1533-position model. The record is from RNAcentral.
GACGAACGCUGGCGGCAUGCCUAAUACAUGCAGGUCGAGCGAACAGAUGAAGUGCUUGCACUUCUGACGUUAGCGGCGAACGGGUGAGUAGCACGUAAGGAAUCUACCUAUAAGCGGGGGAUAACAUUCGGAAACGGGUGCUAAUACCGCAUAAUAUCUUCUUCCGCAUGGAAGAAGAUUGAAAGACGGCUCUGCUGUCACUUAUAGAUGACCUUGCGGUGCAUUAGUUAGUUGGUGGGGUAACGGCCUACCAAGACGAUGAUGCAUAGCCGACCUGAGAGGGUGAUCGGCCACAUUGGGACUGAGACACGGCCCAAACUCCUACGGGAGGCAGCAGUAGGGAAUCUUCCGCAAUGGGCGAAAGCCUGACGGAGCAAUGCCGCGUGAGUGAAGAAGGCCUUCGGGUCGUAAAACUCUGUUAUAGGAGAAGAACAAAUUGUAGAGUAACUGCUACAGUCUUGACGGUAUCUUAUCAGAAAGCCACGGCUAACUACGUGCCAGCCGCCGCGGUAA